GACAGGGGCCGGGAAACCCCGGGGACAGCCAUGGGAGCGGCCCGGACCGCAUGGUGAGGGGGAAGGACAAGGGAACGCACGGUCGGGACAAAGGACCGCAUGGUGCAGGUCAUGCAUUGCCAUUGCUUUCAGGAUUUCCAGGCCACCGGUUCCUGAUGUGAGACAGUGAUCUCAGAAGAUGACUCACAGAGAGGGAAAACGCAGGAUGGCACCGGCAGCCAGCGCGGCUUGUGCAGUGCCAGCGAGGACAACGUGGUCAGCAGCAAAAGACAGCAGUUCCUCGAUUGUGGAGCAUGGAAUUCUGUCAUUCUUGAAUCUCCAGAAGACAUAGAAGAGUGUAAAAUUUGCUAGAGGACAUUGAGGGUGUUCUGUGAUUUACUUCAGAAAGAGCAGAUCUCUUCUUGGGAGAUAAUUCUGAAAGGAAAAUUUUCAGAACCUGAUAUACCUCCCUGUUCAGGGGGUAGAAAAAGAAGCAAAGAUGAGCUUGGGAGAUACGGUAGGAGAAGUAUUUUAGUCUUUUUUUUUUUUUUUCUAGUGACUCUAUAUAAAUUGGCAAUAAAACAGAAAUUUUAGUAAUGCAUCUGUUAAAGUCUCUUUUUCUUGAAAUACUAACUCCUAAGUGGUCUCUCUGUCUUUAGCUUGACCCAUCAGCUUUUCCAUCCUAUUUUUCUUUCUUCUUGGCCUGCUGAGGAGAUGAAGUGAGAGAGAGGCUGGGUGGGUGUUUGCCAAGGUUACCUCACCCCACUGUGUUGCAAUAGAUCGAACUCAGAGGGCCAGGAACUCACAACUGCAUUGAAAAUGUUCAAAAAUCCUGACAAAUAGCUUUGAGUCUGCAGUUCUUUGUGUCCAGGAAAAGACACGGGGCUGUGCCCCACUGAUUUCAAAGUACCUGCCUACAAGGAGGGAUUUUUAAAUCAAAAAGCACGAGCUUCUAUACACAAAAAACCUGGCUGGAGCCAGGAGGCUCCACCUGGAUCAAAACACCUGUGGGAUCAGGACCAUAGAGUCUGCAAAAUAGCUUGAAGCCAAUAUAUCUGUCAAAGGCAUAGGAACCAAAACAAAACAACAGAAAAAAAGCCUCUUC
Taeniopygia guttata (zebra finch) is the source of this 1084-nucleotide long non-coding RNA. RefSeq lists it as uncharacterized. NCBI's taxonomy places the organism in Eukaryota, Metazoa, Chordata, Aves, Passeriformes, Estrildidae. The record is from RefSeq and is a predicted model, not a curated record.